AUUAAAGUCACCUAAUGGAACUGACGAAGAAACAAAUGACAAAAUGAAAUGAAGUUCACAUUCAUCGAUUUAUUCCAAAUGAUCGUUAGACUAAGUAAGGCACAGACUGACCAUUAUAAGGGUAAAAUGAUACCCGGGGUCAAACAGCAAAGUUACCACAGCAUCACAACCAAGUCAGUAACGGGUAAAUCCUCCUCUGUUUGCCAAACAAGCAUUGAUCCGACGUGGCAUACUCCUAAUGAGACGUCUAAGGUCAUUUUGGUCCAGAUUGUCCCAUUCCUGUUGCAACGCAGCAGCAAGUUCUUGGACAUUGGCAGGACGUUGUUGACGUUGACGUAACCUCUGUCCAAGCAUGUCCCAGACAUGCACGAUGGGGGAGAGGUCGGGACUCAGUGCUGGCCAAGGUAAUGUGGUGAUGUUCUGUUGUUGGAGGUAACCUGUAACGAUCCUGGCCCUGUGACAUCUUGCGUUGUCAUCCUGGAAGAUGAAACGGCGGCCAUGACGUCGUGCGAACGGCACAACAUGGACUGCCAAGAUGUUGUCCCGGUAGUACUGACCUGUAACACGCCCUGCAACAACAUGUAAAGCCGUUCUUCCAGCAACAGUGAUGCCUCCCCACACCAUAACAGAACCACCCCCAAAUCGAUCAUGUCUGAUGACGUUAACGUCUUGGAAGCGCUCGUUUCGACGACGCCACACCCUCCUACGUCUUUCCAAAAAAUCAACAGUGAACCUUGACUCAUCUGAAAACAUCACAUUGCUCCAGCGUCGAUUAUCCCAGUGUUGACGAUCCCUACACCAACGACGUCUUGCCUGAAUGUGAUGAUCUCUCAAACAAGGGAUCACGCGAGGACGUCGGGCGCGAAGGUGACCCCUGUGCAGUCGAUUCCGAAUCGUCUGGCCACUCACUCUCACACCAGUGUCUGUUUGAAGACGAGCGCUGAUCUGAUUUGCUGUGAUGACACGAUUUCUCAAGGCCAAGGUACGGAUAAAUCGAUCCUGGGCUUGAGUUGUCGCCCUUGGUCGACCUAAGCGUGGUCUGUCCUGUACAGAUUGUUGUGCCGAUCUGUAGCAUGCCAAGGGCACGUAACCUUUCAUUUUGGGUAAGCCGACGCAUAUCAAAAUUUGUUUUCUGGUCACUAAAACAAUUAAACUGAUGUUUCCACCCUGGAAUUCAAUGCCACAAUGACUGUAACAUUCAAAGUCAGAGUCGUGCAAAUCUUGGGUUGGACCCCCAUGAUGAUCCCAAGCAUCACAUGCAUUUCAUGCGGUAGCUUUUGGUGCGUUUGGGCGUCACAUGUAACUGGAAAUGUUUCUUCUGUUAGGUUCUAUAGUGACUUUUUUCGUAGUCAUUUGCAUAUUUUAGUAUUAUGCCCCCAAAAUCAAAUAUCCCCUACUUUUUUUGAAUAGUAUAUAAGGAUUAAAAGGUACACAAAAUACUUUGUCGUGAGCAAUAGUUAUGUAGAUAGAGGGAUGAGGUUUAACGUCCACUAUGUCAUUUCUGAUUCUGGACAGACGACACUAAUUCUUGUCAGGUAUAAGGACUAAGACUAGUAAUUAUUUCCCCUUAUUUCAUGAUGUAGUGCGGGUUAUAAAUAGACAAUUUUUCCCUUAAUUUUUUUCUCCCCUCUUCCUGCAUUUUUUGGUUGACUUUUUGGUCUAGAAUUGAAGAAAAGGGAUCAAAUUUGCAAUUUCAUCGCAGUUGUGGGUAAUACUGAUGAUAUUAGAGCGGAGGGAUAGGGGGUGUAAAGUGUCUUUCUGCAGAGCAAUCACUGUGUCGGAAGUAAGAUUUUCACCCCAGUCAACUUCAAAUCCCCGUAGCAAAAACUCUAAAGAUUAGAACCAACGGAAUGUUGAGCAAAGAGCUACAGCCUGUGAUGUUACAGCCAUUUAACAUUGAAGUCAAUGGGCAAACAAUUGCUAGUCCUAAAUAGUACGCAGGCUAUGAAUGCAGAUAUUUUCGCAGCCACUUAUUUCCUGAAGUUUUGAAUGGGAAGUGUCAGAAAUGGUAUCAGGUUACUCACUGUGCAAGAGUGGAAGGAUUGACCUCAACACAAGUAUUAAGGCAAAAGGGAAUCAACUUUAUUUGAGGCCAGAUACAUGGAACGGUUCCACCAGUUAUUUGUUAUCCCACCCCGGCACACAACAGAAUGAGGGCGGCACUUUGAGCAGUCACCAUCGUAACACAUGAUAGUGGACUCUAGGACUUUUGCACUAACUUGGUUAGAAAGAGUCUGCAUGCCACUCCGAGAGGGCGGUGGAAUAUCCAAAUCUGUCAACAGAAGCCGAGCUCUGGUGUUUCCAACCGGCAUGUCUAACAGGUCAGAUUAAUAGCGUAGGGUCAGAUUAAUAGCGGCUGCCUUUCUUCCUGGUUUCCCAGUUGGAAUCUCUUUAUAUAACUUGUACACAGGUUAGAUAAAUGUACAUUUUGUACACUUUACAGAGUACAUCCAACCCGCUCCCCACUUCUGCUCACUAACAGGCUGGAAAUUUGGUACUGCACAGGCCUUUCUUCUCCCCUGAGCAUGUAACGGAAUGACAUAAUUCCAUAUUUCGAACAUUUUCUGGAUGUCUAUAAUCCUGUUUCCCUGGAUAGUGUUCGCCUCAGAAUUCUCAGUCUCAUCCAAAUUUAACAUUUCAGGUCUACAUCUCAAAACUCGAUGACUUCCCGGACUGGCUUCAGUAGAAAGAUGAUGCAUAUUAAUUUCACCCCUGAUCUCUGUGACACCUGUGGAAGUUGAGGGCAAAUCAUAAUCGGUUUGGGUUCCAGCCGAGAACCCCUGUAAACGUUGCUGUUUAGUGUUGACUUCAUUUCCGAGCUUGAAAAAGACAGCCUUGCGUUUAUUAUGGCCUCUCAUAUUGGAAGAUAACAUAAAUGGCUUGUAUGUUGACUGUUGUGCAUAUCUCUGGGCCAGGAAAGUUGUAGGUACCAUCACCAUUGUAAAUCAUUUGACAGACCAGAAUGAAGAGUGAGAACUAUGAUUGGUCAGCCAUGUAUCAGAUUCCAUACUAGGGGGUGGCGAUCAUAAAACUGUUGUAGUGUUACAUAAUCAGAUUAUCUGAACUUAAUUGUCCUAUGUAAAUACAGCUAUGUAGGAGACAUUUUAAAAUUUAUAGGCACUGCAUGUUUCAACAUCUUAGAUUUGACCACAAUUUGGCACUUGAAACUGCGUUAACAGAGAAAAACUAUGUGCUUUUCGAUGAAAAUGUUAAAAAAAAUCUAAUACUACAUGAUAAUUACUGUUUUAAAGGAUUUUCUUGUUUGAUUUAUAUUGAAUUUUUGUUAUCUUUUUACAGAAUGCAUUUAUGUUCAAAAAUAAAAAUGUUCUGUUUAAU
This is a long non-coding RNA of Patella vulgata (common limpet), 3336 nucleotides long. RefSeq lists it as uncharacterized. Lineage: Eukaryota; Metazoa; Mollusca; Gastropoda; Patellidae. The record is from RefSeq and is a predicted model, not a curated record. The transcript is spliced from 4 exons.